This 403-nucleotide ribosomal RNA is filed under the name bacterium. RNAcentral's name for it is "partial 16S ribosomal RNA". It matches the Rfam family "Bacterial small subunit ribosomal RNA", at positions 355 to 776 of the family's 1533-position model. The record is from RNAcentral. RNAcentral also lists the same sequence under 1 other name.
UGGGGAAUAUUGCACAAUGGAGGGAACUCUGAUGCAGCGACGCCGCGUGAACGAAGAAGGCUUUCGAGUCGUAAAGUUCUUUUAUAUGGGAAGAUAAUGACGGUACCAUAAGAAAAAGCCACGGCUAACUACGUGCCAGCAGCCGCGGUAAUACGUAGGGGGCUAGCGUUGUCCGGAAUCACUGGGCGUAAAGGGUUCGCAGGCGGAAAUGCAAGUCAGGUGUAAAAGGCAGUAGCUUAACUACUGUAAGCAUUUGAAACUGCAUAUCUUGAGAAGAGUAGAGGUAAGUGGAAUUUUUAGUGUAGCGGUGAAAUGCGUAGAUAUUAAAAAGAAUACCGGUGGCGAAGGCGACUUACUGGGCUCAUUCUGACGCUGAGGAACGAAAGCGUGGGUAGCAAACAGG